This 253-nucleotide ribosomal RNA is filed under the name uncultured bacterium. RNAcentral's name for it is "partial 16S ribosomal RNA". It matches the Rfam family "Bacterial small subunit ribosomal RNA", at positions 524 to 776 of the family's 1533-position model. The record is from RNAcentral.
UACGUAGGGUGCAGGCGUUAAUCGGAUUUACUGGGCGUAAAGCGUGCGUAGGCGGUUCAUUAAGUCGGUUGUGAAAUCCCUGGGCUUAACCUGGGAACUGCAGUCGAUACUGGUGGACUAGAGUGCGGUAGAGGGUGGCGGAACUCCGGGUGUAGCGGUGAAAUGCGUAGAUAUCCGGAAGAACACCGAUGGCGAAGGCAACCACCUGGGCCUGCACUGACGCUGAGGUACGAAAGCGUGGGGAGCAAACAGG